ACUGCUCAGUAACACGUAGGUAACCUACCCUUCGGACGGGCACAACCCCGGGAAACUGAGGCUAAUUCCCGAUAGGUACCCCCUUCUGGAAUGUGGGGAUAUCCAAAGCUCCGGCGCCGAAGGAUGGGCCUGCGGCCGAUUAGGUUGUUGGCGGGGUAACAGCCCACCAAGCCGACGAUCGGUACGGGCAGUGAGAGCUGUAGCCCGGAGAUGGGGACUGAGACAAGGCCCCAGGCCCUACGGGGCGCAGCAGGCGCGAAACCUUCACAAUGCACGAAAGUGUGAUGAGGGUACUCCGAGUGCGCAUACAUUGUAUGUGCUUUUCUGCAGCGUAAAUAGUUGCAGGAAUAAGGGCUGGGCAAGACCGGUGCCAGCCGCCGCGGUAACACCGGCAGCCCUAGUGGUGGCCGCUUUUAUUGGGCCUAAAGCGUCCGUAGCCGGACAGGCGAGUCUUUGGGUAAAUCCUACGUCUUAAGCGUGGGAAUUCUAAAGAUACUACCUGUCUUGAGGCCGGGAGAGGCUGGAGGUACUCCUGGGGUAGGGGUAAAAUCCUAUAAUCCUGGGGGGACCACCGAUGGCGAAGGCAUCCAGCUGGAACGGGUCCGACGGUAAGGGACGAAAGCUAGGGGCACGAACCGGAUUAGAUACCCGGGUAGUCCUAGCCGUAAACGAUGCUCGCUAGGUGUCAGUCACGGUGCGACCGUGAUUGGUGCCGUAGGGAAGCCGUGAAGCGAGCCACCUGGGAAGUAUGGCCGCAAGGCUGAAACUUAAAGGAAUUGGCGGGGGAGCAC
This 791-nucleotide ribosomal RNA is filed under the name uncultured archaeon. RNAcentral describes it as "bacterial SSU rRNA". It matches the Rfam family "Archaeal small subunit ribosomal RNA", at positions 85 to 879 of the family's 1478-position model. The record is from RNAcentral.